GAUGAACGCUGGCGGCGUGCCUAAUACAUGCAAGUCGAGCGAACAGACGAGGAGCUUGCUCCUUUGACGUUAGCGGCGGACGGGUGAGUAGCACGUGGGUAACCUACCUAUAAGACUGGGAUAACUUCGGGAAACCGGAGCUAAUACCGGAUAAUAUUUCGAACCGCAUGGUUCGAUAGUGAAAGAUGGCUUUGCUAUCACUUAUAGAUGGACCUGCGCCGUAUUAGGUAGUUGGUAAGGUAACGGCUUACCAAGGCAACGAUACGUAGCCGAGCUGAGAGGGUGAUCGGCCACACUGGAACUGAGACACGGUCCAGACUCCUACGGGAGGCAGCAGUAGGGAAUCUUCCGCAAUGGGCGAAAGCCUGACGGAGCAACGCCGCGUGAGUGAUGAAGGUCUUCGGAUCGUAAAACUCUGUUAUUAGGGAAGAACAAACGUGUAAGUAACUGUGCACGUCUUGACGGUACCUAAUCAGAAAGCAACGGCUAACUACGUG
RNAcentral lists this ribosomal RNA (497 nucleotides) under uncultured bacterium. RNAcentral describes it as "partial 16S ribosomal RNA". It matches the Rfam family "Bacterial small subunit ribosomal RNA", at positions 28 to 507 of the family's 1533-position model. The record is from RNAcentral.